AGUGGAACUGAUGGUUUGUAUGAUACCUCUAUGUUUAAUUUUUUGAGUAAUUGUCCAAUCUGUUUUCCAAAGCAGCUGCAUCAUUAACAUUCCCACCAACACU
RNAcentral lists this microRNA precursor (103 nucleotides) under Marmota monax (woodchuck). Lineage: Eukaryota; Metazoa; Chordata; Mammalia; Rodentia; Sciuridae. The record is from RNAcentral.